UUCCUCCCUGCCUCCUCAGACUGAGUGACUGUAACCUCUCAGAGAGAAGCUGUGAAGCUCUGUCCUCAGUUCUCAGCUCCCAGUCCUCCAGUCUCAGAGAACUGGACCUGAGUAACAACAACCUGCAAGAUUCAGCAGUGAAGCUUCUCUCUGCUGGACUGAAGAGUCCAAACUGCAACCUGGAGACUCUCAGCUUAUCAGGCUGUUUGGUCUCAGAGGAAGGCUGUGCUUCUCUGGCCUCAGCUCUGACCUUUAACCCCUCCCAUCUGAAAGAGUUG
Molecule: long non-coding RNA, 278 nt
Organism: Poecilia latipinna (sailfin molly)
Lineage: Eukaryota; Metazoa; Chordata; Actinopteri; Cyprinodontiformes; Poeciliidae
Exons: 2
Source: RefSeq, a predicted model, not a curated record